RNAcentral lists this ribosomal RNA (390 nucleotides) under uncultured Pseudomonadota bacterium. RNAcentral's name for it is "bacterial SSU rRNA". It matches the Rfam family "Bacterial small subunit ribosomal RNA", at positions 33 to 407 of the family's 1533-position model. Lineage: Bacteria; Pseudomonadati; Pseudomonadota. The record is from RNAcentral.
ACGCUGGCGGUAGGCUUAAUACAUGCAAGUCGAGCGGUAACAGACAUUUUGAUUUUGCUUGCAAAAUCUCGUGCUGACGAGCGGCGAACGGGUGAGUAACGCGUAGGAAUCUACCUAGUAGAAGGGGAUAGCCCGAGGAAACUCGGAUUAAUACCGUAUACGUCCUUAGGGAGAAAGAGGGCUUAGCUUUGAUGCUCUCGCUAUUAGAUGAGCCUGCGUAAGAUUAGCUUGUUGGUGAGGUAAAAGCUCACCAAGGCGACGAUCUUUAGCUGGUCUGAGAGGACGAUCAGCCACAUUGGGACUGAGACACGGCCCAGACUCCUACGGGAGGCAGCAGUGGGGAAUAUUGGACAAUGGGCGCAAGCCUGAUCCAGCCAUACCGCGUGUGUG